AUGGCGACCGCCGUGGCGUCGCAGCCGCGACACUUCACCCUCGGCGGCGAGCCGAGGGCAGCCAUCUGCGCAGCCAGCACAUCAAAGAUUUGCACCCUGGACAAAGUAUAUGGAUUCAGGUUCGUAUGCAGAAGUGUUGUUGAUCUAAGGAGUCAAAAAUUCCAUUCCCAAAUUUCUAAGAGAAAGUGCUAUUUAACAAGUUCACCAUCGGAAUUUGAGAAGAUCAUUUUGAGUGCUAGAUGGUUAGAAUUUAGGAGACAGAGGAUAGCCUUUCAGAGAACUAGAAGGUGGGUUCACAGUAUUCCAUUGGCUUCUCAAGAUGAUGGCAGUGGUGUGUCUGUUAAUGGAGUACCACAAGUUGAUCCAGCAAGUCAAAUGAAGGAAAUAAGGGUGGAAUUGGAUAAAGCAUUGCAAAAUGAAGACAUAAGCACUGGCCUUGUCCAAUCAAUACAUGAUGCUGCGAGAUCUAUUGAAUUGGCUUUCCUUGAUCACAGCAAAUCAUCAAUAAACUCUUGGUUCCCAAAGAUGUGGCUUGGUGUCGAUAACAAUGCAUGGAUAAAAUCACUGUCUUACCAGGCUGCUGUUAGCUCGUUACUGCAAGCAGUUAUCGAUGUUUCAUCAAGGGGGAACGGCAGAGAUAGAGAUAUUAAUGUAUUUGUUCAAAGGAGUUUAUCCCGCCUUCUCAGCUCUCUAGAUGGUGUUAUACAGAAUGAAUUGGCUAGAAGGGAACCUUCAUUAUAUCAGUGGUAUUCAUCUAAUCAAAAUCCAUUGGUGGUGAGGACAUUUGUGAACACUUUUGAAAAUGAUCGACGAUUUAAUUCUGCAACAGCAAUAUGCAGCGAAGGCAAGCCAAUGGAUACUAGUGAAAGUGACCUUUCUUUGCUUGUGCUUGGUCUGUUCUGUCUUGCUGCUAUUACGAAGCUAGGAUCAGCAAAAGUUUCUUGUCAGCAGUUUUUCUCCAUGGUCCCUGAUAUUAUUGGCCGAUUCAUGGAUAUGCUUCUUGAAUUCGUUCCUAUAAGUAAAGCGUAUACCUUGACGAAAGAUAUUGGUCUUCAGAGAGAAUUCUUGUGCAAUUUUGGUCCUCGUGCUGCUGUUCCUAAGUUUGCUAAUGAUCAUGGACUUGAGAUAUCAUUUUGGAUUGAUCUGGUUCAGAAACAAUUACUAAGGGCUCUUGAUCGUGAAAAGAUAUGGUCAAGACUGACAACAAGUGAAACUAUUGAGGUUUUGGAAAAGGACCUAGCGAUAUUUGGUUUUUUCAUUGCUUUAGGCAGAAGUACACAAGUAUACCUGUCUUCCAAAAGUCAUACAGAUUCAAAUGAUUCUAUCAAUAGUAUUGUAAGGUACCUUAUUGGUGGGAGCGUCCUAUAUUAUCCACAGUUGUCCUCGAUUAGUUCUUAUCAGUUGUAUGUGGAGGUUGUUUGUGAAGAGCUUGAGUGGCUUCCAUUUUACUAUGAAGAUGUGCCAACGCCAAUAGUUAAUACUGAAGGCAGAAAAGAAAUGCCUAAAAGAGAACUGAUAUCAAGGGUGCUAAAUGUCUGCACUUAUUGGAUGACUAGUUUUAUAAAGUAUAGCUCAUGGCUUGAGAACCCCUUAAAUGUAAAGGCAGCACGAUUCCUAUCUAAGGGGCAUGCCAUGUUGAGGGACUGCAUGACUGAGCUUGACAUAGCAAAAAAUAAUAUGCCUAAAGACCGAAGUUUUCAAGAAAGUGGAGUAUUGGUUGAUGCGACUGAGCUAGCUUCCAUUGACAAGUCACUUGAAAGUGUUGAGGAAGCUUUGGUUAAGUUAGAAAAUUUGCUUCAAGAAUUGCAUCUUUCCAGUACCAACUCUGGUAAGGAGGAUCUAAAGGCUGAUCUAGAAAUGAUCAGAAGACUGAAGAAGGAAGCAGAAUUUCUUGAGGCUUCCUUUCGAGCAAAAGCAGAAUAUCUGGAGGCUGAUACUAUUAGCAGAGUGUUACCUCCUGCUGGCGAGGGAGAACACGGAAAGACGGGCAGCAUGGUUAAUGAGGUUUUAACACCACAAAAACCAGUAAAUAGGAUGGAGAACAAUCGUCGUCCGUUUUGGGACAUUUUUGGUAUGACUUCUGGAAGGAAAAUUGUGCCAGCACAACAAGCUGUGGAUCAGGAUGCUUCUGCUGCCAAGGUGGAUCAAAUAGACAUGGAGUCAAAUGACAUCCGCCGCUUCGAACAGUUGAGACGUGAGUUGAUUGAGUUAGAAAGGAGAGUGCAGAAGAGUACAGAUGGUGCUAAAAAAGAGGAGUUCCAGGAAACGGAGGUUCCAGAUGAAACAAUGAGCCCUUCUGAGUCAGCACCCCCUCUGUCAGGGCCUUCUGGUUCAGUAAUCAAGAAAGAAAAUGUUAUUACAAAAUCGGUAGAGAAAGUUAAGGAGAGUACAACGAUUGUGUUGCAAGGGACACAGCUCUUAGCAAUUGAUACAGGAGCUGCUAUGGGUUUACUGAAAAGAUCUCUUAUUGGGGAGGAACUAACUCAGAAGGAGAAGCAGGCUCUUCAGAGAACCCUGACAGAUUUGGCAUCUGUCGUUCCAAUAGGAAUACUCAUGCUUCUACCAGUUACUGCUGUUGGGCAUGCUGCUAUUUUGGCUUUCAUCCAGAGAUAUGUGCCUUCCAUGAUCCCAUCCACAUAUGGCCCCGAGAGGUUAGAUCUCCUCAGGCAGCUUGAGGAAGUGAAGGAAAUGAAAUUGCCUGAAGGCAGCAGUGAAGAUAUUUCUGACGCAAUAGGUUUGAGAGGUGACCAAGUGAAAUAA
Molecule: ribosomal RNA, 2760 nt
Filed under: Triticum aestivum (bread wheat)
Lineage: Eukaryota; Viridiplantae; Streptophyta; Magnoliopsida; Poales; Poaceae
Description: partial small subunit ribosomal RNA
Source: RNAcentral